AAUGGGUUUCCAGUAUCAGCCAAAAAACUUACUAAGCAUAUUCUAAAAGAGCUACAGCAAUU
RNAcentral lists this small nucleolar RNA (62 nucleotides) under Cricetulus griseus (Chinese hamster). Its description in RNAcentral is "U7 small nuclear RNA". The record is from RNAcentral. Lineage: Eukaryota; Metazoa; Chordata; Mammalia; Rodentia; Cricetidae.